AUUGAACGCUGGCGGAAUGCUUUACACAUGCAAGUCGAACGGCAGCACGGGGGCAACCCUGGUGGCGAGUGGCGAACGGGUGAGUAAUACAUCGGAACGUGCCCAGUUGUGGGGGAUAACGUAGCGAAAGCUACGCUAAUACCGCAUACGAACUGAGGUUGAAAGCGGGGGAUCGCAAGACCUCGCGCAAUUGGAGCGGCCGAUGGCAGAUUAGGUAGUUGGUGGGGUAAAGGCUCACCAAGCCGACGAUCUGUAGCUGGUCUGAGAGGACGACCAGCCACACUGGGACUGAGACACGGCCCAGACUCCUACGGGAGGCAGCAGUGGGGAAUUUUGGACAAUGGGCGCAAGCCUGAUCCAGCCAUUCCGCGUGCAGGAUGAAGGCCCUCGGGUUGUAAACUGCUUUUGUACGGAACGAAAAGGCUCUCGCUAAUACCGGGAGCUCAUGACGGUACCGUAAGAAUAAGCACCGGCUAACUACGUGCCAGCCGCCGCCGUAA
This 500-nucleotide ribosomal RNA is filed under the name uncultured bacterium. RNAcentral describes it as "partial 16S ribosomal RNA". It matches the Rfam family "Bacterial small subunit ribosomal RNA", at positions 29 to 523 of the family's 1533-position model. The record is from RNAcentral.